AAAUACAUAGGGCCAGAACAGGACGCGAAACAACUAUUGAUAGAGGUUGGAGGCAGCCGUAUGCUUGCUUGACCAAGGUUGUUCUCUCAUUUGUGACAUGCUACAGACAAAUAAUUCAAUCUAAAAUGCACAUCAUGGCUCAAAGGAAUAAAACUGCACAACAAAUAAUUUAAUCAGAAAUGCACAUCAUGGCUCAAAGAAAUAAAAUGAGUGAGCUAAAAGAGAACUGAGGCACCCUGCAAGGGAACUAAUACCGUUUUGAACAUGUUUGAAAUAGGCACCAGACCAUGGGAGAUUUUGGAGAAGAGCCUGUACAUCAUACAAAGAUCCUC
RNAcentral lists this long non-coding RNA (332 nucleotides) under Zea mays. RNAcentral describes it as "long non-coding RNA (ZMAY_LNC002915)". The record is from RNAcentral. Lineage: Eukaryota; Viridiplantae; Streptophyta; Magnoliopsida; Poales; Poaceae.